Small nuclear RNA from Myotis lucifugus (little brown bat), 146 nucleotides. Its record names the gene U1. It matches the Rfam family "U1 spliceosomal RNA". Rfam says of the family: U1 is a small nuclear RNA (snRNA) component of the spliceosome (involved in pre-mRNA splicing). Its 5' end forms complementary base pairs with the 5' splice junction, thus defining the 5' donor site of an intron. The record is from Ensembl. Lineage: Eukaryota; Metazoa; Chordata; Mammalia; Chiroptera; Vespertilionidae.
AUACUUACCUGGCAGGAGAGAUACCAUGAUCAUGAAGGUGGUUUUCCCAGGGCAAGGCUUAUCCAUUGCACUCCGGAUGUGCUGACCCCUGUGAUUCUCCCCCCCCCCCCCAAAUAUCCAAUAAAAAGAUGCCUGUAUCACUCAUC